This 74-nucleotide transfer RNA is filed under the name Percopsis transmontana (sand roller). RNAcentral describes it as "tRNA-Lys". It matches the Rfam family "tRNA". From Rfam's summary of the family: Transfer RNA (tRNA) molecules are approximately 80 nucleotides in length. Their secondary structure includes four short double-helical elements and three loops (D, anti-codon, and T loops). Further hydrogen bonds mediate the characteristic L-shaped molecular structure. tRNAs have two regions of fundamental functional importance: the anti-codon, which is responsible for specific mRNA codon recognition, and the 3' end, to which the tRNAs corresponding amino acid is attached (by aminoacyl-tRNA synthetases). tRNAs cope with the degeneracy of the genetic code in two manners: having more than one tRNA (with a specific anti-codon) for a particular amino acid; and 'wobble' base-pairing, i.e. permitting non-standard base-pairing at the 3rd anti-codon position. The record is from RNAcentral. Lineage: Eukaryota; Metazoa; Chordata; Actinopteri; Percopsiformes; Percopsidae.
CACUAAGAAGCUAAAGGGGGUCGAGCGUUAGCCUUUUAAGCUAAAGAAUGGUGGUCCCCAACCACCCCUAGUGA